GAUGAACGUUGGCGGUGUGCCUAAUACAUGCAAGUCGAACGGUGGUUAUUUUGUAGUAAUACGAAGUGAUCAUAGUGGCGAACGGGUGAGUAACGCGUUGGUGAUCUGCCUCGAAGUGUGGAAUAACGUUCCGAAAGGAACGCUAAUACCGCAUGUGCUCUCGAUUUUAGAAAGUUGAGAGUAAAGGAUUUAUUCGCUUCGAGAGGAGCCUGCGUCCCAUCAGCUAGUUGGUAGGGUAAUAGCCUACCAAGGCUUUGACGGGUAGGGGACCUGAGAGGGUCGGCCCCCCACAAUGGAACUGAAACACGGUCCAUACACCUACGGGUGGCAGCAGUAGGGAAUAUUAGAAAUGGACGAAAGUCUGAUCUAGCGACACCGCGUGUGCGAUGAAGGCCUUCGGGUUGUAAAGCACUUUUUGGAAGGAAUAGGAAGGAAGGUACUUCCAGAAUAAGUCUCGGCUAACUACGUG
RNAcentral lists this ribosomal RNA (469 nucleotides) under uncultured bacterium. Its description in RNAcentral is "bacterial SSU rRNA". It matches the Rfam family "Bacterial small subunit ribosomal RNA", at positions 28 to 507 of the family's 1533-position model. The record is from RNAcentral.